Molecule: non-coding RNA, 49 nt
Organism: Ixodes scapularis (black-legged tick)
Lineage: Eukaryota; Metazoa; Arthropoda; Arachnida; Ixodida; Ixodidae
Source: Rfam
CCUAGAGGACGACCUCUAGGACUUUCGGGCGAUCUCAAGGACGACCUCA